UCGGGAAAAUUUUGCAAUAUACGAAAGUGUGACAGAGCAAGCCAGAGUGCUUCUCUAAUAUUUGAGAAGCUUUUGUAAGAUGUAAAUAGUCUUACGAAUAAGGACCGGGCAAGACUGGUGCCAGCCGCCGCGGUAAUCCCAGCGGUCCGAGUCGCAGCCACAAUUAUUGGGUCUAAAACAUCCGUAGCUUGCUUUUCAAGUCUCUUGUGAAAUCUGGCCUCUUAAGGGUCGGGCGCGCAAGAGAUACUGUUUAGCUAGAGACCGGGAGACGUAUGAAGUACAAACAGGGUAACGGUAAAAUGUAUUGAUCCUGUUUGGACUAACAAUAGCGAAGGCAUCAUACGAGAACGGAUCUGACAGUGAGGGAUGAAGGCUAGGGGCGCAAAGUGG
RNAcentral lists this ribosomal RNA (390 nucleotides) under uncultured euryarchaeote. RNAcentral describes it as "bacterial SSU rRNA". It matches the Rfam family "Archaeal small subunit ribosomal RNA", at positions 339 to 727 of the family's 1478-position model. The record is from RNAcentral. Lineage: Archaea; Methanobacteriati; Methanobacteriota.